Molecule: ribosomal RNA, 465 nt
Filed under: uncultured bacterium
Lineage: Bacteria
Description: partial 16S ribosomal RNA
Rfam family: Bacterial small subunit ribosomal RNA
Source: RNAcentral
CUACGGGGUGCAGCAGUGGGGAAUAUUGGACAAUGGGGGAAACCCUGAUCCAGCAAUGCCGCGUGUGUGAAGAAGGCCUGCGGGUUGUAAAGCACUUUCGGUUGGGAGGACUGCUUCUAGCACUAAUAUUGUUGGAAGUUGACGUUACCUUCAGAAGAAGCACCGGCUAACUCCGUGCCAGCAGCCGCGGUAAUACGGAGGGUGCAGGCGUUAAUCGGAAUUACUGGGCGUAAAGCGCGCGUAGGCGGCUAGAUCAGUCGGGUGUGAAAGCCCCGGGAUUAACCGGGGAACUGCAUCCGAUACUGUCUAGCUUGAGUACAGGAGAGGAGAGUGGAAUUCCACAUGUAGCGGUGAAAUGCGUAGAUAUGUGGAGGAACACCAAUGGCGAAGGCAGCUCUCUGGCCUGAUACUGACGCUGAGGUGCGAAAGCGUGGGGAGCAAACAGGAUUAGAUACCCGCGUAGUC